This 179-nucleotide unclassified non-coding RNA is filed under the name plant metagenome. RNAcentral's name for it is "partial contains 5.8S ribosomal RNA, internal transcribed spacer 2, and large subunit ribosomal RNA". The record is from RNAcentral.
GGGCGGGACGGGGGAGCCGUCCGGGCCGGUGGGCACGUGCAGGUAGCCGAACGAGAUCAGACGGAUCGGGCGCAAGGGAGUCUCCUGCUCGAGGUGAAGAAGGGGAACGGGAAGCGCCGCGCCCCGGCCGUCUGGCCGGGGCGCGGCGCUGUGGUGUGUGGUGCUGGUGUGUCAGGUGG